This is a long non-coding RNA of Ipomoea triloba (trilobed morning glory), 542 nucleotides long. RefSeq lists it as uncharacterized. The transcript has 3 exons. The record is from RefSeq and is a predicted model, not a curated record. Lineage: Eukaryota; Viridiplantae; Streptophyta; Magnoliopsida; Solanales; Convolvulaceae.
AUUUAGUAUCAUUGGCAGUUUCGAAAGAUAGUUUUCCAGUACUAAAAUGUCUGUCCCUCAGAUACUGCACUGAGCUUGCGGCUGUUCCAGUUGAGUUUGGUGAAAUAGAGAGCCUUAAGUUGUUGGAAUUGUAUUGCACCAAUGAGUGGGCACUGAGAUCUGCUCAUCAAAUACUGAUGCGUAAAGGAGAUGUAAAUGGAGAUACAAAAAAGGGUGGAUUUCAGCUCUCAGUCAAUACUACUCCUGAGCCUUGAGAUACAUUAGGUUUCCUGGAUGAGGUAAAUAGCUAGUCCUCCAUCAAUCCCCAAAUACAGAUGCAAAUAUGGGUGAAAGAUUUCAACUCUCCAUCUAUCCUCCUGAUCACUAAGGGAUGGGAGAUGCCCGGUCACAGCUUUCAACCAUUCAAUGCUGCGGGUGCUGAUAUAUGUAUAUAUAUGUCAAGAGUGAAUAUGAUUUUCUUUCUCAUUUGUUUCCAGCAGACCACAUAAUACCAACUGUUACUUGUUUGUUUGUUUAGUGCCCUGCGAUUUGCUUUGGGAUUA